UACGUAGGGCGCGAGCGUUGUCCGGAUUUAUUGGGCGUAAAGAGCUCGUAGGCGGCUUGUCGCGUCGACUGUGAAAUCCCGAGGCUCAACUUCGGGCUUGCAGUCGAUACGGGCAGGCUAGAGUUCGGUAGGGGAGACUGGAAUUCCUGGUGUAGCGGUGAAAUGCGCAGAUAUCAGGAGGAACACCGAUGGCGAAGGCAGGUCUCUGGGCCGAUACUGACGCUGAGGAGCGAAAGCGUGGGGAGCGAACCGG
Molecule: ribosomal RNA, 253 nt
Filed under: uncultured bacterium
Lineage: Bacteria
Description: partial 16S ribosomal RNA
Rfam family: Bacterial small subunit ribosomal RNA
Source: RNAcentral